GACGAACGCUGGCGGCGUGCUUAACACAUGCAAGUCGAACGGAAAGGCCCUGCUUUUGUGGGGUGCUCGAGUGGCGAACGGGUGAGUAACACGUGAGUAACCUGCCCUUGACUUUGGGAUAACUUCAGGAAACUGGGGCUAAUACCGGAUAGGAGCUCCUGCUGCAUGGUGGGGGUUGGAAAGUUUCGGCGGUUGGGGAUGGACUGGCGGCUUAUCAGCUUGUUGGUGGGGUAGUGGCUUACCAAGGCUUUGACGGGUAGCCGGCCUGGGAGGGUGGCCGGCCACAUUGGGACUGAGAUACGGCCCAGACUCCUACGGGAGGCAGCAGUGGGGAGUAUUGCACAAUGGGCGGAAGCGUGAUGCAGCAACGCCGCGUGCGGGAUGACGGCCUUCGGGUUGUGAACCGCUUUCGCCUGUGACGAAGCGUGAGUGACGGUAAUGGGUAAAGAAGCACCGGCUAACUACGUG
Molecule: ribosomal RNA, 468 nt
Filed under: uncultured bacterium
Lineage: Bacteria
Description: partial 16S ribosomal RNA
Rfam family: Bacterial small subunit ribosomal RNA
Source: RNAcentral